Molecule: ribosomal RNA, 774 nt
Filed under: uncultured Neocallimastigales
Lineage: Eukaryota; Fungi; Neocallimastigomycota; Neocallimastigomycetes; Neocallimastigales
Description: partial large subunit ribosomal RNA
Rfam family: Eukaryotic large subunit ribosomal RNA
Source: RNAcentral
UAUCUCUGUAGAGUCUGCAUAUCAAUAAGCGGAGGAAAAGAAACUAACAAGGAUUCCCCUAGUAACGGCGAGUGAAGCGGGAAGAGCUCAAAUUUGAAAUCUUCAAGGUUUGACCUUGACGAAUUGUAGUUUAAAGAAGUGUUUUCGGUUAGAGGAGUAGUAAAAGUUCUUUGGAAUAGGACAUCAUAGAGGGUGAGAAUCCCGUAUUUGACUAUUCUUUCUAGCUUUGUGAUACACUUUCAAAGAGUCGGAUUGUUUGGGAAUGCAGUCCAAAAUGGGUGGUAAAUUUCAUCUAAAGCUAAAUAUUGGUGAGAGACCGAUAGCGAACAAGUACCGUGAGGGAAAGAUGAAAAGAACUUUGAAAAGAGAGUUAAACAGUACGUGAAAUUGUCAAAAGGGAAGCGUUUGACACCAGUGUUGUUUUUCCGAAAAUCAAUUAAAAAUUGAUUCAUGCCAGGUUGUAUUGACCUUAUCAGCUUGCAAUUUGGUUUUGGGUCUCUUUUUGAUGCACUUUUCGGUUAACAAGUCAACAUCAAUUUCCUUUGCUGUAAAAAGGUAAGAGGAAGGUGGCUUCAAUUUCGGUUGAAGUGUUUAUAGCCUUUUAUCUCUGCAGUCGGGGAGAUUGAGGUCUGCAGCGUAGAUCCUUCGGGGCUAGAUACAUUUAUGCUAAGUUAUAGCUUUUCAUAGACAACUUGUUGACUAUGUUUAGUCAUGUAGCUUACUCGUAAGUGCUAUUUUACCUACGCUUAGGAUGUUGAAGACUCUACAGAGAUA